Carassius carassius (crucian carp) is the source of this 1395-nucleotide long non-coding RNA. RefSeq lists it as uncharacterized. The transcript has 4 exons. The record is from RefSeq and is a predicted model, not a curated record. Lineage: Eukaryota; Metazoa; Chordata; Actinopteri; Cypriniformes; Cyprinidae.
UCUGGAAAGCCACAGUGGGGUCCUACAGCUAUGACUGGCUGCUGCUCAAGCUCUCUGUCAUCCCACCCUCACACGCUGGGACGCCUGCCUUGCCUUUGAGAGACUCCUCCUGCAGGUCUUGGGGGACUCGGACCUGGCAGAGGUUCUGAAACAGAUUCUUCCCCUCAUAAAGUCUAGUGAGUCUGGAACAGGUUCUGACUCUAGUUCAUGCCCUGGUGAGCUGAGUGUGGAUGAUCUUCUGGUGCUGCUGGUUUAUGUGUACUCUAUGGCCCAGGAAGCAUGUCUGGGAGGUGCUGAGGAGGAAAAACAUGUUGCGAAGGUGGAAAAUGAGUUGAUUGGUGCUUUGACACUCUGACUCACCUGGCAGACCUCAUUAAGCCCUCUGCUGCAGGAGAUCACAGGUCACCCGACCCCACCCAAGUGAUCCAUCCACUCUUGUUUCUCUUCCUGGUGGGUGGAGUCACACCGUCAGAGCUCCGCCUCAUUCAUGAAGUUGUCUCCACCCGUAAGUAAGGCAUUCAGGUACUCCUAAUGUCCACUAGACUGCUGAGACCUUUCGAUGUCCCUUACUUACUCUUCAGCACUGACAGACUCAAACCUAACAUUGGAGUGUGAAGUGACUGGACACACACACUUCUAACUGUUGAAUUGAGUCUUUCCAACAUUGUUUGCCUUUUUCAGUGGUAUCAUGCAUUUAAAAAGGUUUAAGCAAUAUACAGAGCAUGCUUCUGUUAUAAAUACCACAAUAUCCCAUUAAAAUACUAAACAUUCACUUGUUUUUUUCAUGCCGUUGGCAGAUACAGCAUGGUCUCCAGUUCAGUUCUUACAAUCAGCCAUGUGUUGAUUCCCACAGGAGCUUCCCUCUUCAUCCUUCACUCACUUCAGUGCUGUCGGAGAAGUGACAGAUGGGAAGAGGGCAGAGGUCAAAAAGGGGGGCGACGUCCUUUAGUGCAGUGCUUUCUGUUCUGCCUUCACUUUCUCUUACACACAUGUUUUUAAGCCAUCUAUAAAGGGGCAUACUAUAGACCUCUGAUGUUUUUAUAUAACAAAGCUAAGUAUAAAAACUAUUCACCAAAGAUAAAUCUUAUAAUAUAAUAAUAUUUUAAAGUUUGGAAUGAUUAUAAAGAUAAAUUUUUUCAGUAAAGCAUUCCUAUUCCUCAAAGUAUAGCUAAGUAAGCACAUGCUGUGAAAGCAUGAUAUGCAUAUCUCUUAUACUCUUAUGAGAUUUUAGUUUGUGCUUCGAACUUGUCUAGUAUUACCCCAGCACCUGAAAUCAGUUAUAUUCCUCUAAACACCUUUAUCCUUACAUACUGUACAUACAUUUGACUUCUUGAAUGUUUAUUUAGGGUGUUGGUAAUUUAUUGAUUUUACCAUGUGGAAAACAUCAGCAUUAGA